RNAcentral lists this ribosomal RNA (492 nucleotides) under uncultured bacterium. RNAcentral's name for it is "partial 16S ribosomal RNA". It matches the Rfam family "Bacterial small subunit ribosomal RNA", at positions 29 to 507 of the family's 1533-position model. The record is from RNAcentral.
AGUGAACGCUGGCGGUAGGCCUAACACAUGCAAGUCGAACGGCAGCACAGUAAGAGCUUGCUCUUACGGUUGGCGAGUGGCGGACGGGUGAGGAAUACAUCGGAAUCUACUUUUUCGUGGGGGAUAACGUAGGGAAACUUACGCUAAUACCGCAUACGACCUACGGGUGAAAGCAGGAGAUCUUCAGACCUUGCGCGAUUGAAUGAGCUGAUGUCGGAUUAGCUAGUUGGCGGGGUAAAGGCCCACCAAGGCGACGAUCCGUAGCUGGUCUGAGAGGAUGAUCAGCCACACUGGAACUGAGACACGGUCCAGACUCCUACGGGAGGCAGCAGUAGGGAAUAUUGGACAAUGGGCGAAAGCCUGAUGCAGCAAUGCCGCGUGGGUGAAGAAGGCCUUCGGAUUGUAAAGCCCUUUUGUUGGGAAAGAAAAGCAGCAGGUUAAUACCCCGCUGUUCUGACGGUACCCAAAGAAUAAGCACCGGCUAACUUCGUG